GGCGAACGGGUGAGUAACACGUGGGUGAUCUGCCCUGCACUUCGGGAUAAGCCUGGGAAACUGGGUCUAAUACCGGAUAGGACGAUGGUUUGGAUGCCAUUGUGGAAAGUUUUCGGUGUGGGAUGAGCUCGCGGCCUAUCAGCUUGUUGGUGGGGUAAUGGCCUACCAAGGCGUCGACGGGUAGCCGGCCUGAGAGGGUGUACGGCCACAUUGGGACUGAGAUACGGCACAG
RNAcentral lists this ribosomal RNA (232 nucleotides) under uncultured Actinomycetales bacterium. RNAcentral describes it as "partial 16S ribosomal RNA". It matches the Rfam family "Bacterial small subunit ribosomal RNA", at positions 97 to 334 of the family's 1533-position model. The record is from RNAcentral. Lineage: Bacteria; Bacillati; Actinomycetota; Actinomycetes; Actinomycetales.